This 444-nucleotide ribosomal RNA is filed under the name uncultured Paracoccus sp. RNAcentral describes it as "bacterial SSU rRNA". It matches the Rfam family "Bacterial small subunit ribosomal RNA", at positions 337 to 798 of the family's 1533-position model. The record is from RNAcentral. Lineage: Bacteria; Pseudomonadati; Pseudomonadota; Alphaproteobacteria; Rhodobacterales; Paracoccaceae.
CCCUACGGGUGGCUGCAGUGGGGAAUCUUAGACAAUGGGGGCAACCCUGAUCUAGCCAUGCCGCGUGAGUGAUGAAGGCCUUAGGGUUGUAAAGCUCUUUCAGCUGGGAAGAUAAUGACGGUACCAGCAGAAGAAGCCCCGGCUAACUCCGUGCCAGCAGCCGCGGUAAUACGGAGGGGGCUAGCGUUGUUCGGAAUUACUGGGCGUAAAGCGCAUGUAGGCGGACUGGAAAGUUGGGGGUGAAAUCCCGGGGCUCAACCUCGGAACUGCCUUCAAAACUAUCAGUCUGGAGUUCGAGAGAGGUGAGUGGAAUUCCGAGUGUAGAGGUGAAAUUCGUAGAUAUUCGGAGGAACACCAGUGGCGAAGGCGGCUCACUGGCUCGAUACUGACGCUGAGAUGCGAAAGCGUGGGGAGCAAACAGGAUUAGAUACCCCAGUAGUCCGU